GUGGGGAAUUUUGGACAAUGGGGGCAACCCUGAUCCAGCCAUCCCGCGUGUGCGAUGAAGGCCUUCGGGUUGUAAAGCACUUUUGGCAGAGAAGAAACGACUCUGGAUAAUACCCGGGGUUAAUGACGGUAUCUGCAGAAUAAGCACCGGCUAACUACGUGCCAGCAGCCGCGGUAAUACGUAGGGUGCAAGCGUUAAUCGGAAUUACUGGGCGUAAAGCGUGCGCAGGCGGUUCGGAAAGAAAGAUGUGAAAUCCCAGAGCUUAACUUUGGAAUGGCAUUUUUAACUCCCGAGCUAGAGUAUGUCAGAGGGGGGUAGAAUUCCACGUGUAGCAGUGAAAUGCGUAGAGAUGUGGAGGAAUACCGAUGGCGAAGGCAGCCCCCUGGGAUAAUACUGACGCUCAUGCACGAAAGCGUGGGGAGCAAACAGGAUUAGAUACCCUAGUAGUCC
This 450-nucleotide ribosomal RNA is filed under the name uncultured bacterium. Its description in RNAcentral is "bacterial SSU rRNA". It matches the Rfam family "Bacterial small subunit ribosomal RNA", at positions 354 to 796 of the family's 1533-position model. The record is from RNAcentral.